This 253-nucleotide ribosomal RNA is filed under the name uncultured bacterium. RNAcentral's name for it is "partial 16S ribosomal RNA". It matches the Rfam family "Bacterial small subunit ribosomal RNA", at positions 524 to 776 of the family's 1533-position model. The record is from RNAcentral.
UACAGAGGUGGCAAGCGUUGUUCGGAAUUACUGGGCGUAAAGGGUGCGUAGGCGGGUCUUUAAGUCAGGGGUGAAAUCCUGGAGCUCAACUCCAGAACUGCCUUUGAUACUGAAGAUCUUGAGUUCGGGAGAGGUGAGUGGAACUGCGAGUGUAGAGGUGAAAUUCGUAGAUAUUCGCAAGAACACCAGUGGCGAAGGCGGCUCACUGGCCCGAUACUGACGCUGAGGCACGAAAGCGUGGGGAGCAAACAGG